Molecule: long non-coding RNA, 1250 nt
Filed under: Androctonus crassicauda
Lineage: Eukaryota; Metazoa; Arthropoda; Arachnida; Scorpiones; Buthidae
Source: RNAcentral
CAACAAGUGCUUAAUUUUUGUAUCUUUCAAUCUAUAUUUUCAAUGUGUGCUUGAACACCAACUGUAACAAUCACCUUUUGUUACAUCAGAUAAUUAAAAAUACAUACACAAAUAAAUUUUAUAAGUAUCUUCCCUAUUGAGAAAACUUAAAAAUGAAACUAAUUUUGAAGGCAAGAGGAGCACACAAAAUUUUAAAAAGAUAGGAUUUAUUUAGAUAGAUGCAAAAGAAUAGAAAAAAAUUUUUAGUUGAAAAGCCUGCCAUUAUGGAAGAACAGUUUUUUCAAGAAUUAUAGAAAAAUGACACUCCUUAAUCCAAAACCAAUAGUUUUUCAUGACAAAAGAUAGUUUUGACUACCUAUAAAUCAUCUAAAGCAGUGUUUUGCAAAUUUUCAGCAUCUCUAUAGCCCUUUUAAAAUUUUAAUAACUCCAGUGUAUUCUCUUUAACCAAUUUAGAAGUUAUAAUAUUUUAUUGAAGAAAAGUAACAAUAAAUAAUUGCAUAAAGAUAGUUAUUUUUAACAUUUGCAUUAUAAUAAGUUAUAGAUGUCUGAAAUCUUAUGAAGUGAGAUCAAAAUGUAGAAAUGAUCUCUAAACUCCUUUUACACUUCCCCACUAUUACAUGUACCACACUUUGUGAAACACUGGCUUAAAGGAUAGAAAGAUUUACAAUUGAUUUCAUCUGUGAUCUUUAACAUCAAAGUCUAUAAAUCCACAUUUUAUCAUAAUCUGAUAUAUAAAUGAUAAAAAGAAAAUUUAUUAAUCAAUGAAGUUCAGGUUUAAGUUAACAAAUUGGAAUUUAGUUUGUUACAAGGAAUGCUAUUGAUCAAAGUUAUUUCAUAUCAUGUUGCAUAAUAUUUGUUAGUAAUGGCAACACAAUAAGGAAGAUUCAUAUUCUAAUAGCCUGCUUUUUCCCUUUAAUUAUACUAUUAAUACAGUAUUCGAGCACUCAAUGCAGUUAAUGUCUUAAGAAAUGAAAAGGACCUUGAAAAGAGAACAAAAAGGCAGGAAUCUACAAAAUCCCAGUGAACAAUGACAAAACAGCAGACAGCAGCAUACCUAGAAGUGACCAAUCGAACCCUGGCCCAAAGAUUAGAACAACAUAAGAAGGAUGUAUCUAAGGGCAAAUUAAACAUGGCUUUAGCUAUAGAAGAUUAUGCAACAGACCUAAGAAUACAGUGGGAUGAUGCCAAAGUAAUAAAACCAGUUAAGAAGGAAACACAAGCAUACAUAGCAGAGACAUUGGAAAUAAUGA